This 475-nucleotide ribosomal RNA is filed under the name uncultured bacterium. RNAcentral describes it as "bacterial SSU rRNA". It matches the Rfam family "Bacterial small subunit ribosomal RNA", at positions 28 to 523 of the family's 1533-position model. The record is from RNAcentral.
GAUGAACGCUGACAGAAUGCUUAACACAUGCAAGUCUACUUGAUCCUUCGGGUGAUGGUGGCGGACGGGUGAGUAACGCGUAAAGAACUUGCCCUGCAGUCUGGGACAACAUUUGGAAACGAAUGCUAAUACCGGAUAUUAUGUGAGUUUCGCAUGAAAUUCAUAUGAAAGCUAUAUGCGCUGCAGGAGAGCUUUGCGUCCUAUUAGCUAGUUGGUGAGGUAACGGCUCACCAAGGCGAUGAUAGGUAGCCGGACUGAGAGGUUGAACGGGCCACAUUGGGACUGAGACACGGCCCAGACUCCUACGGGAGGCAGCAGUGGGGGAUAUUGCACAAUGGGGGAAACCCUGAUGCAGCAACGCCGCGUGUGGGAAGAAGGGUUUUCGGAUUGGUAAACCACUGUUCUUGGUGAAGAUAAUGACGGUAACCAAGGGAGAAAAGCUCCGGGCUAAACUACGUGCCAGCAGCCGCAGUAA